CCGGGGUUGAUCCUGCCGGAGGUUACCGUUAUCAGGUUCCGGCUUAGCCAUGCGAGGCGCGAGGUGCAAGACCUCGCCGGACUGCUCAGUAACACGUAGUUAAUCUAUUCUCAGCUGGAGGAUAAUCCCGGGAAACUGGGGCUAAUACUCCAUAGGCUCUGGAUGCUGGAAUGCACCAGAGCUGAAAGCUCCGGCGGCUGAGAGUGAGACUGCGGCGUAUCAGGUCGUAGUGAGUGUAACGUACUCACUAGCCUAUAACGCGUAGGAGACACGAGAGUGUGUGCUCCGAGAUGCACUCUGAGACAUGAGUGCAGGUCCUACGGGACGCAGCAGGCGCGAAACCUUUCCAAUUCGUUAACGCGUGAGAAGGGGAGCCUGAGUGGCUAUGCAAUGCAUAGUCUUUUCUUUAGUCCAAAAAGCUAGAGGAAUAAGUGGUGGGCAAGACAGGUGCCAGCCGCCGCGGUAAUACCUGCGCCACGAAUGGUAAUCGAUUUUAUUGGGUUUAGAGUGUCCGUAGCCGGCUUAGCGAGUCCCUGGUGAAAUCUGGCAGCUAACUGUCAGGAGUGCUGGGGAUACUGCUAGGCUUGAGAUCGGGAUAGGGUAAAGGUAUUCCACGUGUAGGAGUUAAAUCCUUUAAUCCGUGGAGGACCACCGGUUGCGAAGGCGUUUACCUGGAACGAGUCUGACGGUGAGGGACGAAAGCCGGGGGAGCAAAUGGGAUUAGAUACCCCAGUAGUCCCGGCUGUAAACGAUGUCCGUUUGGUGUCGCGUGCUUUACGUGAGUAUGCGGUGCCGGAACGUAAGUGUUAAACGGACCACCUGGGGAGUACGGUCGCAAGGCUGAAACUUAAGGGAAUUGGCGGGGGAGCACACAAGGGGUGGAGGCUGCGGUUCAAUUGGAUUCAACGCCGGG
RNAcentral lists this ribosomal RNA (913 nucleotides) under uncultured archaeon. RNAcentral describes it as "bacterial SSU rRNA". It matches the Rfam family "Archaeal small subunit ribosomal RNA", at positions 1 to 922 of the family's 1478-position model. The record is from RNAcentral.